GCGCAGUCUCCUCUAUCCUCUCCUCACAAGCGGAUCCGGCGCUGCUGCUACAGCCCGCGCCGCCGCCGCCUCCGCUCGCCGCUGCGGAUCCACCGCCGCCCCCGCUACAGCCUGCCGUCACCCCUCCACCCUUCCGCUCACCGCUGCCUCCGUCUUCGCGACGGUCCUCCCAAGCUAACGAGGCUGACAACCCGAGCGGCGGCUGCGAUGGCUUGAGCGUUUGCGAGACCGGAUGGUAGCCGCGGCUGUGCGCGGCCGCAUCAGUAGUUGCGUUAGAGGAUGGAGCGGCAGUUGCAUGGGCGUCCUUCAUUGAUCCCCUCCGCGGAACUUUCUUGUCACUUCUCGCUCAGCCCCCACGGUGCCGCUCGCCGUGCCCGACUAGACCGCCCCGUGCUCCACCAAGCCCACCACGACGCUGGCUACCAUGGCACCUAGGACGGCAGUCCCUCCUGCCGACGGCUGCGCGGCGGCCGUGUGGAGCAAAGCUAGACAGCGCUGGCCAGGGGCGACGGUGGCGGGGUUGUGUGUACAGAGGCGUUGGAACGGGGUGGCGAGGUGAAGAGGAUAAGUUCGAGCAGCCUCAGCGCAUGCGUGUGUGGUACUGCUGCUUCGCCACAGUCCAGGCUAUGAGAUUUGGGCAGAGAGCCAGAGAGAUAAGAACACAGAGUUGCUUGGCUUGAAGAUACAGAACCAAAUUGUCUUCGCCCACGUCCAGCCGCAUUCGUCGGAUCUGGGUUUUCUAUGUACCUGUGUGGCUGUGUUCGGUGCAAGAAAAAGAUUUUUGCGAGGACAUUGGAGAUAUGAUGAACUACUUGGAAGAGUGAAGUUUUCAGUGUCCAGGAAAAAUUCUUGAGAUGACGGAAACGAAUUUCCCUCUCAAGAAAAGGUGGAAUACGAAUUGGAUGGAAAGCUAGAGCUGGAGCAGGUAGAGCAUGGUGGAGGGUCUGCUUCUACCUCUCUGGCCUCUCGACCGGAUCAUAUAUGUUUUGCGGCUCCGCGGCUCCAUUAAUGGCAGUAGUGCGCUUGUGCCAUCCAUGUCUGAUUCGUGCAGCCAUCAUCUGUAGCAUUUGUUGGAGCCAUCAUCCAAAACAGUUUCACUGAUUCUCAGGUAAGCAACGUGAUUUUUCCAUGUGUUGACUCAAUCUGGAAAAGUCAAGCUUACAAAUGCUUUAAGGGAUGGUUGAUGGAAUUGAAUCACAGGAGUAUUGGUUGUCCAGACCUUUUUAGGGACCUUCUAAGAGUUAGAUUUGACAUGAAAUCAAUUGUUUUGUACAUUGUACUGUCAUUGCUAGAAUUGUUGAUCUCGAGCUGCAUCCUCCACAAUAGUGGCUUCAAAUAUUGGUCAUAACUAUUGGCAAUUAAUGGUGAAUCCCAGUCCAUCAGGGCUCACAUCGUCGCCAACCCCAAUUGCGCGUGUGGGGCGAAGGCAAGCGCGGACGGACUGAUCGCAACCCGACGCUACGCACCACCAUCUCCAACAUCCUCGCCGUCAGGGCCAGCGGCGCUCCGAGCAGAACAAAAAACCAGAGGAGCUUCGUCUCAAGCAAUGUGGGCACGCCUCAAACUCAAAGUCUGGCCGCCGUGUGGGAGAGCGGCAUCAUCCAUGUACGCCUCUUCCAAGAAGGGCACGGCCUUGGAGGAGCACAAUGAUGGAAUAGUCGACGCUGGCUCCUGCGGCAUGAGCCAGGAAAGGGGCAGGAGACGGGCAUGGCAGAGGCGCGCACUAGACAUGCAGAUCAUGGAUACGGGUACAACGCUGUAUUUCCCUCGGGAUGCUAUGAUCCUUUUCUUGGUGGGAUGCAGUGGUCGCACGACCCUUUCAUGUACUGCGGCUGCGGUGGGCGGUGGCAUGGCUUACGCUUACAUUACCUGAUGGAUCAUGCACACCAUCGACGCCAUCGGCAGCAUGACAGUACCACCACCAUGGCACAACGGCAGAUUGUAUGGCUGCGACGACAACAACUGGAGGCGCACAAAUAGUAAGCUUCAGAGCUUCAGGAUGAGGUGUGGCGAAGGCAGAUUACAGGUGGCGUUAGUUUUGACACGGGGUACAAACUAGCUGGUGCUCAAACACCCAAUGCAGAGUUUUGCAUGCGUAUGAGAGUAUGAGGAUAAAAGUAUUGUAUAUGGUCAGUCGAGGAUAAAAGUCUAUUUAUCAACUUGGUUAAUCUGGUUGUAGUCAAGAGGAAAUCUAGGGGGUGCUUCCUUCACUUCAGUAUUUGCCAUUGAUAUUGGCAGUUCUCUAUAGUACUCUGUUUGUAUUACUUUUACCUUUUUUCCUCCAUGUUUGAGUACUUGCAUUGCUAUUGCUUCUGACUUUAUUCUAUGAUGCAUGCUAUUGACGACAGCGCCUCAAUGUGAACGUUUCAAUCAUUUGAUAAACGUUCUGGAACCUGUGGCCAAUACUUCUUAUUGGAUUUUAAGUUCCGUCACCCAUAUACCGUCAGGUACUAUAACAAGGCUAUUGUUAAUAUCAUCAUUAAUUCUGGCUGCCCAUCUAAAAGUUAACCUUUCCUGACCUUACACUUGCACGCAACUCUAUCAUUAUUGCUUACAAGGGGCGGCUUAGUGAUUCAAUCUCUGACUAUAAGGCAGCUUAGUGAUUGUCAUGUUUGUUUUGCACAAAUCAAAAGAAAAUUGUUUUGGUACUUGAAACUGUUUGAGUGGUAAAAUAUUUUUUAGCCUUUUAAGCAUAAAUUUAUUUAUUUGUACCCGUUGCAACGCACGGGCCUUUUUUCUAGUUUCUAGUCUCUCCCUAAUAAUAAAGCACGGAUCGGGUAUCCGGGUUCACCGUCGCGGCAGUUUUGCUAAACCCCCCUCAAGUUUCUGGUAAUUAACCCGCGCUCCAGAUUUAAGUUAGUAGUAAUAAGUAAAAAAACGAUUCGUUCUCACCCGAACGGACGGACGCAACGCCCGUCUCCGCCUGCCCCAAUCCCGACUCCAGGCCGUCGUCCCCAACACACCAUGAGGACGAAGAUGGCGGCGACGCUGGUCCGGGCCUCCGGGGGGAUCGGACCUCCUACGCCUGCCCGAUCCUCCUACUUCUCCUCGCACUGCUCCUUGCUGUCCCCGCUCGCGGCCAUCUCCAACGCCUCCUCCCACGCCUACGCCUUCGCGGGCCGUCAGCCGGUGCUCGCCCCGGAUCCCACCUUCUUCGACGAUGUCAUCGACGCCAUCGUCGACAAGUACGGCUGGGACCCCGACGCAGAGGUCCGGGUUUGGUCGCUCGACGCCGAGGGCGCGCUCGUCGACGCCGUGCAGUGCUACGAGUUCCCCGCCCGCAUGGGGCCCCGCAGUCGCGCUGGCGCGGGCCUCCGACGGGGCCGUCGAUUGGAGCCGCCCCGACGCCCCCGCGGUGGAGGAGGUGGUCGGGCCUGACGGGGUCGACUUCGUGACCGGCGAUGGCGACCUGGCAUUCGGCUCCGGCGUUAGGGUCCGUGACAUGGUAGGGCCGUUCGAGCUGGUGGUCUGCGAUGGCGCUGGCAGGGGCCGCGCAGAGCUCCAGUUGCCGUCGGUGAGUGCUGUUUGACUUUUAUCUUUGUUGCUUUAGUUUUUUUGCUUCUGCUUGCUUGCUUGCUAUGCUCUUGAAGUUGUGUGGCCUGUAAGAUGAAGCAGUUACUACAAUUGGUGAAUGGUCUAGCUGCUGCUUAUCCCUUUUCUGUUUCUGACUUUGAAUUGAUUGCAUUUGUUGUAGUGUCUGCACCACCGCCCGUUGAUUAGAAUGCAUGUUCCGGCAGUCCACGCAUCGAUCACUGGCAAAUUAAAAAGGCAUGAACGCACUAAACAGAAAUUCUGUGUAGAUGAUUCUUGUAUAUGGCAGUGGCACAUGCGCUGGUUGAUGAAGCCGCUGGGCCGGAAGGCCCUCUCAUUGCCAUGCUAAUGAGUAUCACGAUGAACAUGCCCCCCACCUCAAUGCCUCCCUGUCGGCGGUGAGGUCUAGCCGGAUCUGUACAACCCGCAAUAUUAGUAAAGAAAAAGAAUAGCUUGAUUGUUCUAUGACUCUGUCGUGGAUAGGUAAUUUGCAUCAGAGGUCUAUAGGAUCUCUGCCAUUAGUUUCCCAUUAGAAAAUUGAGUUACUAAAUUAAGGAAGAUGUCCAAAGAGAGGUAAUCGUUGGCAUGAUAUGCAUCAGAAGAUCCUCAUCAUUGAAGUAGUACUCCACCAGUCCACCUACAGUUUUGGAACAUAUAAAUACGGCAUCAAAGUGCUACCUGGCACCAAAUAAAGAGUUCAGGUCAGGGUGUUAUACUGCAGCUAAGUAGUAUAGUCUGAAUUUCUAACUUUGAGGAGGAUUUCAGUGUUUCUAAAGAAAGGGACAAGGAUCAGGGCUAUAAAAUUGUUGAAAGACUCAGAGACAUGUACCAUGAAUUGGGUAUAUUCCGCAAGCUGCGGCACACAUGGUCUGCCUUCGUGUCGUCCUACCUGCUUCAGGGCCCUCUACUUCUUCCCCCAAGAUUGCCAUUAUGAUUAACAAAUCUGACGAGAGCAAUUUAAUUGGUGACACAUCAUAUUUAUUCUGCAACUGCAUGUGAAUUCUCAUCUUGCGCCUACCUCUUUUGCUUACCAGUGAAGAUGGAGAGCUUUAGGCAAAAAAAGAAAGAAAAAAAACUAGCACGUGAUCUAUGGAGAAUAAUUUUGACAGCAACUCCAACUAUGCAAUGGAGUACACUUGAUGCGAUCAAUUCUGGUGUGUGUGUGUGUGUGUGUGAUGCAAUGACGUAUGAAUAACGACAGAAAAAUAUGCCUGAGGAGUAUGGAAACGCUGAUCUUGAAAUCUUGAUCCUACUUAUAGGCCGUAUUGCAAGCAAUGUACUCAUGUUUUACUGAACAUGUAGGUAACAUGAAAUUUUGAUCUUCUCCCAUCACUGAAAGUUGUGUUUUAAACUUGCAAAAGCAUUGCUAAGACUAUUCAAUCAUUUCUAUUUUACCCUAGAUUUCACUCCAUACCAUAAUUGAGAUACAAAUGGGCGUUACUGAUGUCGAGGAGAAGAGUUAGAAGCUCUUGGAUUGAGAAUCUGAGAUUUAUAUAGGUUCAGUAGAACAAAAAGUUUCGGAUUCACUACUCCAGAUACAACGAUGCGGUAUAUAUAGUUAACUUCGUACUUUAUAUUACCAAUUUUUCUUCCUCCCAGAGUUCUUCGGAUAUAAUCUACACCUGAAACAAUAAAUUGUUAAAAGCAAGGAAAAGUAACAAGUUCUGCAAAUUAGUUUCAUGAGGAGAGAACUGGCUGAAAUGAAGCUAAUACCGAUGUACUGAAUAUCCUGCAGUGGUUAGUAUACUAAAGAGUAAAACUGCAUGUUUUUGUCAUAUCUGAAACCCUUUUCUGCUCCAUACUUUACGUAAACAAUGCCUGUGCAUUGGCAUAAGAAUCAUAGAUUGAAAAAUCAUCAUCCAUUGUCAUUCGUCACCCUGGCAAUGAUGCAUUUGCUAUUCAGAAGACUUCUUGUCCGGUUUAGUGUGUGAUUUGUUACUAUGAUAAGGAAACAUUUCCUCAACCCAUCUUUCACUACACACACAGGUUGCACAGAGGAGUAUAAGGAUUUCUUCAUCGGGCCAGUCCACGUGGAAGAUGUCGCGUUAGCCCAUAUCACGUUGUUUGAAAACCCGGCUGCAUCCGGGAGGCACCUCUGUGUGGAGCCCAUAUGUCACUUGAGCAAUUUCGCGUCCCAAGUCGCGGAGCUCUACCCCGACUACGAAGUCCCGAAAUUACCUGAGGACACGCAGCCUAGGCUGGUGAGGGUGGAGGUGGUGCCGAAGAAGCUGAUGGCACUGGGCCUGCAUUUCACUCCUUUGGAAAAGAUCAUCAAGGAUGCGGUGGAGAGCCUUCGGAGAAGAGGAUGCAUCGCCUGAUGGCUGGAUUAUUAGUUGUACCAUAUUCCUUCCCUUCUGUUGUAGGGUCAUGAUCAACCCUUGCUCCAGAGAUAUGUUGUGCCCAGCCCAGUGCUAGACCUUAUAGUUGCCCGUACGAUUGUGCAAUAACGGCUGGUUGAUCUACUGGUACACCUGUCUGUUCUUGCUA
Triticum aestivum (bread wheat) is the source of this 6018-nucleotide long non-coding RNA. RefSeq lists it as uncharacterized. The transcript is spliced from 9 exons. The record is from RefSeq and is a predicted model, not a curated record. NCBI's taxonomy places the organism in Eukaryota, Viridiplantae, Streptophyta, Magnoliopsida, Poales, Poaceae.